GAUGAACGCUGGCGGCGUGCUUAACACAUGCAAGUCGACCGAAGCACCUUGAUUUGAUUCUUCGGAUGAAAAUCUUGGUGACUGAGUGGCGGACGGGUGAGUAACGCGUGGGUAACCUGCCUCAUACAGGGGGAUAACAGUUAGAAAUGACUGCUAAUACCGCAUAAGACCACAGCACCGCAUGGUGCAGGGGUAAAAACUCCGGUGGUAGGAGAUGGACCCGCGUCUGAUUAGGUAGUUGGUGGGGUAACGGCCUACCAAGCCGACGAUCAGUAGCCGACCUGGGAGGGUGACCGGCCACAUUGGGACUGAGACACGGCCCAAACUCCUACGGGAUGCAGCAGUGGGGAAUAUUGCACAAUGGGGGAAACCCUGAUGCAGCGACGCCGCGUGAGCGAUGAAGUAUUUCGGUAUGUAAAGCUCUAUCAGCAGGGAAGAAAAUGACGGUACCUGACUAAGAAGCACCGGCUAAAUACGUG
This 479-nucleotide ribosomal RNA is filed under the name uncultured bacterium. RNAcentral describes it as "partial 16S ribosomal RNA". It matches the Rfam family "Bacterial small subunit ribosomal RNA", at positions 28 to 507 of the family's 1533-position model. The record is from RNAcentral.